AUUGAACGCUGGCGGCGUGCUAAACACAUGCAAGUCGAACGAGAACGGAUUAUAGCUUGCUAUAAUUGUCAGCUAAGUGGCGCACGGGUGAGUAAUGUAUAGGUAAUAUGCCUCUUACUAAGGGAUAACAAAUGGAAACGUUUGCUAAUACCUUAUACUCCUUAUUAACAUAAGUUAAUAAGGGAAAGAUUUAUUGGUAAGAGAUUAGCCUGUAUUGUAUCAGUUAGUUGGUGGGGUAAUGGCUUACCAAGACUAUGACACAUAACUGGUUUGAGAGGAUGAUCAGUCACACUGGAACUGAGACACGGUCCAGACUCCUACGGGAGGCAGCAGUGGGGAAUAUUGCACAAUGGACGAAAGUCUGAUGCAGCAACGCCGCGUGGAGGAUGACACAUUUCGGUGCGUAAACUCCUUUUAUAUGAGAAGAUAAUGACGGUAUUAUAUGAAUAAGCACCGGCUAACUCCGUGCCAGCCGCCGCAGUAA
Molecule: ribosomal RNA, 484 nt
Filed under: uncultured bacterium
Lineage: Bacteria
Description: partial 16S ribosomal RNA
Rfam family: Bacterial small subunit ribosomal RNA
Source: RNAcentral